RNAcentral lists this transfer RNA (75 nucleotides) under Lygodactylus bernardi (FitzSimons' dwarf gecko). Its description in RNAcentral is "tRNA-Tyr". The record is from RNAcentral. Lineage: Eukaryota; Metazoa; Chordata; Lepidosauria; Squamata; Gekkonidae.
GGUAGUGUGGCCGAGACGAAGGCGGUGAGUUGUAGCCUCACAGACUGGGGAAAAUGUAACCCACGCUACCAAGCC